CGCAGAGGACACGCCAGCUCGCCCGCUCGCAGACGCAGGAGGACUCACAGGUCCUCCCAUGUCACCGACGUAGGAGAGUUGUCCGACGCAGACGCUAGGCAACGCCAAUAAACAUGCAUUUUUAGGUCUGUGUGAAUGUGGGCCGAGCAUUUACCUCGGCUGAACU
Molecule: long non-coding RNA, 166 nt
Organism: Etheostoma spectabile (orangethroat darter)
Lineage: Eukaryota; Metazoa; Chordata; Actinopteri; Perciformes; Percidae
Exons: 3
Source: RefSeq, a predicted model, not a curated record